RNAcentral lists this ribosomal RNA (908 nucleotides) under uncultured bacterium. Its description in RNAcentral is "bacterial SSU rRNA". It matches the Rfam family "Bacterial small subunit ribosomal RNA", at positions 19 to 947 of the family's 1533-position model. The record is from RNAcentral.
AUGGCUCAGGAUGAACGCUAGCGGCAGGCCUAAUACAUGCAAGUCGAACGGUUGUAGUGAUACAAUAGUGGCGCACGGGUGCGUAACACGUAUGCAACCUACCUUAUAGACGGGGAUAGCCUUUGGAAACGGAGAUUAAUACCCGAUAGUAACCUUGAUUGGCAUCAAUUAAUGUUUAAAGAUUUAUCGCUAUAAGCUGGCAUGCGUCCAAUUAGUUAGUUGGUUAGGUAAUGGCUGACCAAGACGAUGAUUGGUAGGGGAACUGAGAGGUUAAUCCCCCACACUGGCACUGAGAUACGGGCCAGACUCCUACGGGAGGCAGCAGUAGGGAAUAUUGGGCAAUGGAGGCAACUCUGACCCAGCCAUGCCGCGUGCAGGAUGAAGGCGUUAUGCGUUGUAAACUGCUUUUAUAUAGGAAGAAAUAGACCUUGCGAGGUAAGUUGACGGUACUAUAUGAAUAAGCACCGGCUAACUCCGUGCCAGCAGCCGCGGUAAUACGGAGGGUGCAAGCGUUGUCCGGAUUUAUUGGGUUUAAAGGGUGCGUAGGCGGUUUAUUAAGUCAGUGGUGAAAGACGGUCGCUCAACGAUUGCAGUGCCAUUGAUACUGGUAGACUUGAGUGAGAUUGAGGUAGCUGGAAUGGAUAGUGUAGCGGUGAAAUGCAUAGAUAUUAUCCAGAACACCAAUUGCGUAGGCAAGUUACUAAGUCUCAACUGACGCUGAGGCACGAAAGUGUGGGUAUCAAACAGGAUUAGAUACCCUGGUAGUCCACACUGUAAACGAUGAUAACUAACUGUUGGCUUACGGGUCAGUGGUACAGAGAGAUCGUUAGUUAUCCACCUGGGGAGUACGCCGCGACCGNGAACUCAAGGAUUGACGGGGUCCGCACAAGCGGUGGAGCAUGUGGUUU